AGAGUUUGAUCCUGGCUCAGGAUGAACGCUGGCGGCGUGCCUAACACAUGCAAGUCGAACGGGGUUAUUUAGGAAAUUUCCUUCGGGGAAUGGAAUCUUUAACCUAGUGGCGGACGGGUGAGUAACGCGUGAGCAAUCUGCCUUCGGAUGGGGGAUAACAGCCGGAAACGGCUGCUAAUACCGCAUAACACAUGGGAUCCGCAUGUUUCCCAUGUCAAAGAUUUAUCGUCCGGAGAUGAGCUCGCGUCUGAUUAGCUGGUUGGCGGGGUAACGGCCCACCAAGGCGACGAUCAGUAGCCGGACUGAGAGGUUGAACGGCCACAUUGGGACUGAGACACGGCCCAGACUCCUACGGGAGGCAGCAGUGGGGAAUAUUGCGCAAUGGGGGCAACCCUGACGCAGCAACGCCGCGUGAUUGAAGAAGGCCUUCGGGUUGUAAAGAUCUUUAAUCGGGGACGAAUUUUGACGGUACCCGAAGAAUAAGCUCCGGCUAACUACGUGCCAGCAGCCGCGGUAAUACGUAGGGAGCAAGCGUUAUCCGGAUUUACUGGGUGUAAAGGGCGUGUANGCGGGCAUGCAAGCCAGAAGUGAAAUCUGGGGGCUUAACCCCCAAACUGCUUUUGGAACUGCGUGUCUUGAGUGAUGGA
Molecule: ribosomal RNA, 647 nt
Filed under: uncultured bacterium
Lineage: Bacteria
Description: bacterial SSU rRNA
Rfam family: Bacterial small subunit ribosomal RNA
Source: RNAcentral